UCCAGACUCCUACGGGAGGCAGCAGUGGGGGAUAUUGCACAAUGGGGGAAACCCUGAUGCAGCGACGCCGCGUGGGCGAAGAAGUAUUUCGGUAUGUAAAGCCCUAUCAGCAGGGAAGAAGAAAUGACGGUACCUGAGUAAGAAGCACCGGCUAAAUACGUGCCAGCAGCCGCGGUAAUACGUAUGGUGCAAGCGUUAUCCGGAUUUACUGGGUGUAAAGGGAGCGCAGACGGCAGUGCAAGUCUGGAGUGAAAGCCCGUGGCUUAACUACGGGACUGCUCUGGAAACUGUGCAGCUAGAGUGCAGGAGAGGCAGGCGGAAUUCCUAGUGUAGCGGUGAAAUGCGUAGAUAUUAGGAGGAACACCGGUGGCGAAGGCGGCCUGCUGGACUGUGACUGACGUUGAGGCUCGAAAGCGUGGGGAGCAAACAGGAUUAGAUACCCUAGUA
Molecule: ribosomal RNA, 447 nt
Filed under: uncultured bacterium
Lineage: Bacteria
Description: partial 16S ribosomal RNA
Rfam family: Bacterial small subunit ribosomal RNA
Source: RNAcentral